RNAcentral lists this non-coding RNA (464 nucleotides) under uncultured Glomus. Its description in RNAcentral is "SSU rRNA". It matches the Rfam family "Eukaryotic small subunit ribosomal RNA", at positions 569 to 1031 of the family's 1831-position model. RNAcentral also lists the same sequence under 1 other name. Lineage: Eukaryota; Fungi; Glomeromycota; Glomeromycetes; Glomerales; Glomeraceae. The record is from RNAcentral.
AGCAGCCGCGGUAAUUCCAGCUCCAAUAGCGUAUAUUAAAGUUGUUGCAGUUAAAAAGCUCGUAGUUGAAUUUCGGGAUUGACACAUCGGUCGUGCCUUAAGGGGUAUGAACUGGUGUAGUCAAUUUCUCACCUUCUGGAGAACCGCGAUGCCCUUAAUUGGGUGUCGCGGGGAACCAGGACCUUUACUUUGAAAAAAUUAGAGUGUUUAAAGCAGGCAUUUUGCUUGAAUACAUUAGCAUGGAAUAAUAAAAUAGGACGGCAUGAUUCUAUUUUGUUGGUUUCUAGGAUCACCGUAAUGAUUAAUAGGGAUAGUUGGGGGCAUUAGUAUUCAAUUGUCAGAGGUGAAAUUCUUGGAUUUAUUGAAGACUAACUACUGCGAAAGCAUUUGCCAAGGAUGUUUUCAUUAAUCAAGAACGAAAGUUAGGGGAUCGAAGACGAUCAGAUACCGUCGUAGUCUUAACC